CCUACGGGAGGCAGCAGUGAGGAAUAUUGGUCAAUGGGCGCGAGCCUGAACCAGCCAAGUCGCGUGAGGGAAGACGGUCCUAUGGAUUGUAAACCUCUUUUGUCGGGGAGCAAAAGACGCCACGCGUGGCGUUCCGAGAGUACCCGAAGAAAAAGCAUCGGCUAACUCCGUGCCAGCAGCCGCGGUAAUACGGAGGUGGCAAGCGUUGUCCGGAAUUACUGGGUGUAAAGGGAGCGUAGGCGGGAAAGCAAGUUGAAUGUUUAAGGUACGGGCUCAACCUGUACAAGCGUUCAAAACUGUUUUUCUUGAGUGGAGUAGAGGUAAGCGGAAUUCCUAGUGUAGCGGUGAAAUGCGUAAAUAUUAGGAGGAACACCAGUGGCGAAGGCGGCUUACUGGGCUUUAACUGACGCUGAGGCUCGAAAGCGUGGGUAGCAAACAGGAUUAGAUACCCGAGUAGUC
Molecule: ribosomal RNA, 459 nt
Filed under: uncultured bacterium
Lineage: Bacteria
Description: partial 16S ribosomal RNA
Rfam family: Bacterial small subunit ribosomal RNA
Source: RNAcentral